Panicum virgatum (switchgrass) is the source of this 848-nucleotide long non-coding RNA. RefSeq lists it as uncharacterized. NCBI's taxonomy places the organism in Eukaryota, Viridiplantae, Streptophyta, Magnoliopsida, Poales, Poaceae. The record is from RefSeq and is a predicted model, not a curated record. The transcript is spliced from 2 exons.
GUUUUCUCCAACACCCACGAGCCUUUCGUAUCCUGCUAUCGCCCCUUGUUUUUUCUCCCCUUCCAAAUCCCAGCCACGGCCUGUCGAUCUCGCCGACGAUCCUCCUCGAUCGCGAUUCAUCCGUGCUGAUGGAUACGUGCUUAAGCCGCCGCGUUGAGCUCGCCGCCUUGCCACUUCGACCGUGACACCCCGCUAUGUCAUGCUCGUCGCCCCGCCGCUUCGACCUCGACACCUAGCAGCUUCGCCGCCGCCGCAUCGGCCUUGCCGACCCGCCGCCUCUUGCUGCAAAUAGAUCGACACUGUAGGUGGAUCCAUUGAAGUUCGCUCUCAUCGUCCUUGCAGAGGGGGUUGGGGGAGGGGAUUUGUCUUCCUCGGCGAUGAAACAGAAGUAUCCAGCUAGAUCGACUCAGAUUUCAAUCAGGAAGACCUAGUGGAGGUUUGAAGAGAAGGGGGAUCGAUCAUUGAGCUCAUCAUCCGCCAGCCAAUAGGGUUCGUCUCCAAUCUCCGAUUUUCAUAUGCUCCACAUGAUUUCUUUUCUGUUAAUUCAUAAGUUUCUCCCAAGGUGCGGGAGCCGGAGCUGCAAAUCUAAGAGCGAGGUGGUGUGGGCAUUCAAGGCCGAGCAGCACCAACUUCUACUAGGUGAGUUCAUCUUCUGAUCUGUGCCCACAUAUUUUCCUUUUUAUGAGGCUUACCAUAUAGUAAGGAAGGUGAGAUAUGUAAUAUACCUUUUGUUUUUGUUAAUGUGAAUGUAUAAUCAUCAUCUAGCAUAUAUAAUCGAAUAUAUUAGCUACUAAUGUAUAUUCAGCUUAAGUUUGUUAUAUGAGUUAAUCGUGAUCAUAUAUAUAGCA